This 464-nucleotide ribosomal RNA is filed under the name uncultured Methylobacter sp. Its description in RNAcentral is "bacterial SSU rRNA". It matches the Rfam family "Bacterial small subunit ribosomal RNA", at positions 338 to 795 of the family's 1533-position model. The record is from RNAcentral. Lineage: Bacteria; Pseudomonadati; Pseudomonadota; Gammaproteobacteria; Methylococcales; Methylococcaceae.
CCUACGGGGGGCUGCAGUGGGGAAUAUUGGACAAUGGGCGAAAGCCUGAUCCAGCAAUACCGCGUGUGUGAAGAAGGCCUUAGGGUUGUAAAGCACUUUCAAUUGGGAGGAAAACCUACCGGUCAAUACCCGGUAGCUUGACAUUACCUUUAGAAGAAGCACCGGCUAACUCCGUGCCAGCAGCCGCGGUAAUACGGAGGGUGCGAGCGUUAAUCGGAAUUACUGGGCGUAAAGCGUGCGUAGGCGGUUCGUUAAGUCAGAUGUGAAAGCCCUGGGCUCAACCUGGGAACGGCAUUUGAAACUGGCGGACUAGAGUUUAGUAGAGGGGAGUGGAAUUUCAGGUGUAGCGGUGAAAUGCGUAGAUAUCUGAAGGAACACCAGUGGCGAAGGCGACUCCCUGGACUAGAACUGACGCUGAGGUACGAAAGCGUGGGUAGCAAACAGGAUUAGAUACCCCAGUAGUC